RNAcentral lists this ribosomal RNA (601 nucleotides) under uncultured bacterium. Its description in RNAcentral is "bacterial SSU rRNA". It matches the Rfam family "Bacterial small subunit ribosomal RNA", at positions 732 to 1337 of the family's 1533-position model. The record is from RNAcentral.
GCCUUUUACUGACGCUAAAGCUCGAAGGUGCGGGUAUCGAACAGGAUUAGAUACCCUGGUAGUCCGCACGGUAAACGAUGGAUGCCCGCUGUUUGCGAUAUACUGUGAGCGGCCAAGAGAAAUCGUUAAGCAUCCCACCUGGGGAGUACGCCGGCAACGGUGAAACUCAAAGGAAUUGACGGGGGCCCGCACAAGCGGAGGAACAUGUGGUUUAAUUCGAUGAUACGCGAGGAACCUUACCCGGGCUUGAACUGCAGGAGAAGGAUACAGAGAUGUUGACGCCCUUCGGGGCUCCUGUGGAGGUGCUGCAUGGUUGUCGUCAGCUCGUGCCGUGAGGUGUCGGCUUAAGUGCCAUAACGAGCGCAACCCUUUUCAUUAGUUGCCAUCAGGUCAUGCUGGGCACUCUGAUGAUACUGCCACCGUAAGGUGUGAGGAAGGUGGGGAUGACGUCAAAUCAGCACGGCCCUUACGUCCGGGGCUACACACGUGUUACAAUGGGUGGUACAGAGAGUCGGUCGUCUGCAAAUGCGAUCCAAUCCUUAAAGCCAUCCUCAGUUCGGAUUGGGGUCUGCAACCCGACCCCAUGAAGCUGGAUUCGCUA